UACGUAGGUGGCAAGCGUUGUCCGGAUUUACUGGGCGUAAAGAGCGCGCAGGCGGUCGUUCAAGUCGCGUGUGAAAGCCCCCCGGCUCAACUGGGGAGGGUCACGCGAUACUGAUCGACUCGAAGGCAGGAGAGGGAAGUGGAAUUCCCGGUGUAGUGGUGAAAUGCGUAGAUAUCGGGAGGAACACCAGUGGCGAAGGCGACUUCCUGGCCUGUUCUUGACGCUGAGGCGCGAAAGCUAGGGGAGCAAAGCGGG
Molecule: ribosomal RNA, 255 nt
Filed under: uncultured bacterium
Lineage: Bacteria
Description: partial 16S ribosomal RNA
Rfam family: Bacterial small subunit ribosomal RNA
Source: RNAcentral